RNAcentral lists this ribosomal RNA (254 nucleotides) under uncultured bacterium. RNAcentral describes it as "partial 16S ribosomal RNA". It matches the Rfam family "Bacterial small subunit ribosomal RNA", at positions 524 to 776 of the family's 1533-position model. The record is from RNAcentral.
UACGUAGGGGGCGAGCGUUGUCCGGAUUUAUUGGGCGUAAAGAGCUCGUAGGCGGUUUGGCAAGUCGGGUGUGAAAACUCCGGGCUCAACUCAGAGACGCCACUCGAUACUGCCAUGACUCGAGUCCGGUAGGGGAGUGCGGAAUUCCUGGUGUAGCGGUGAAAUGCGCAGAUAUCAGGAGGAACACCGGUGGCGAAGGCGGCACUCUGGGCCGGUACUGACGCUGAGGAGCGAAAGCGUGGGGAGCGAACAGG